GGGGUGUUACAAGUAUGUUGUUGAUCAUAUACAAGAUUGUAAAAAAAUAUUGACUCGGCUUGGAAAAGUUCAUCUUACAUUAUCGGAUACAAAAUCUAUAUUUGGAGUACAAGAAGUUGUGAUUGUUGGACAUUUAUGUGGAUUUUAUAGAAGAAAACGAGAUCCGACUAAAGUUGAUGUGAUUGAGAGAAUGAAAGAGGAUUGUAGUUUUUUAACAAAGCUUCGCAAGUUUUUAGGUACAUGUGUAUUUUAUCAUAUUUGGAUUCUUCAUUAUACUCACAUAGCAGAUCCAUUGUAUGAACUGUUAUGCAAGGAUUAUUGAUUUAAAUGGAAAAAAAAAGCAUGUUAAAGCAAUGCAAAGAUUGAAGAAAUUAUUGAUAUCACUCUAGUAUUGAGAAAGAUUGAUUAUAAGUGCAAUAGACUAGUGAUUCUUACUGUAGAUACUAGUCCAAUUGC
RNAcentral lists this long non-coding RNA (456 nucleotides) under Physcomitrium patens. RNAcentral's name for it is "long non-coding RNA (PPAT_LNC005752)". The record is from RNAcentral. Lineage: Eukaryota; Viridiplantae; Streptophyta; Bryopsida; Funariales; Funariaceae.